GAGUUUGAUCCUGGCUCAGAUUGAACGCUGGCGGCAGGCCUAACACAUGCAAGUCGAACGGUAACGGGAAGAAGCUUGCUUCUUUGCCGACGAGUGGCGGACGGGUGAGUAAUACUUAGGAAUAUGCCUUUGUGUGGGGGAUAACUAUUGGAAACGAUAGCUAAUACCGCAUAACGUCCGUCUUCGGACCAAAGGGGGCUUUCGGGCUCCCGCGCAAAGAGUAGCCUAAGCGAGAUUAGCUUGUUGGUGAGGUAAAGGCUCACCAAGGCGACGAUCUCUAGCUGUUCUGAGAGGAAGAUCAGCCACACUGGGACUGAGACACGGCCCAGACUCCUACGGGAGGCAGCAGUGGGGAAUAUUGCACAAUGGGCGAAAGCCUGAUGCAGCCAUGCCGCGUGUGUGAAGAAGGCCUUCGGGUUGUAAAGCACUUUCAGUUGUGAGGAAAGGGGUGUAGUUAAUAGCUGCAUUCUGUGACGUUAACAACAGAAGAAGCACCGGCUAACUUCGUGCCAGCAGCCGCGGUAAUACGAGGGGUGCAAGCGUUAAUCGGAAUUACUGGGCGUAAAGCGCGCGUAGGUGGUUUAGUAAGUUGGGUGUGAAAUCCCCGGGCUUAACCUGGGAACUGCAUUCAAAACUGCUGGACUAGAGUACGAUAGAGGGGGGUAGAAUUUCAGGUGUAGCGGUGAAAUGCGUAGAGAUCUGAAGGAAUACCGGUGGCGAAGGCGGCCCCCUGGAUUGAUACUGACACUGAGGUGCGAAAGCGUGGGUAGUAAACAGGAUUAGAUAUCCUGGUAGUCCACGCCGUAAACGAUGUCAACUAGCUGUUGGAGGACUUGAUCCUUUAGUGGCGCAGUUAAUGCGUUAAGUUGACCGCCUGGGGAGUAUGGCCGCAAGGUUAAAACUCAAAUGAAUUGACGGGGGCCCGCACAAGCGGUGGAGCAUGUGGUUUAAUUCGACGCAACGCGAAGAACCUUACCUACUCUUGACAUCCUCAGAACUUUCCAGAGAUGGAUUGGUGCCUUCGGGAACUGUGAGACAGGUGCUGCAUGGCUGUCGUCAGCUCGUGUUGUGAAAUGUUGGGUUAAGUCCCGCAACGAGCGCAACCCUUAUCCUUAUUUGCCAGCACGUAAUGGUGGGAACUCUAAGGAGACUGCCGGUGAUAAACCGGAGGAAGGUGGGGACGACGUCAAGUCAUCAUGGCCCUUACGAGUAGGGCUACACACGUGCUACAAUGGCGCAUACAAAGGGCAGCGAACUGGCAACAGUAAGCGAAUCCCAUAAAGUGCGUCGUAGUCCGGAUUGGAGUCUGCAACUCGACUCCAUGAAGUCGGAAUCGCUAGUAAUCGUAGAUCAGAAUGCUACGGUGAAUACGUUCCCGGGCCUUGUACACACCGCCCGUCACACCAUGGGAGUGGGAUGCAAAAGAAGUGGCUAGUUUAACCUUCGGGAGGACGGUCACCACUUUGUGUUUCAUGACUGGGGUGAAGUCGUAACAAGGUAACCCUAGGGGAACCUGGGGUUGGAUCACCUCCUU
RNAcentral lists this ribosomal RNA (1534 nucleotides) under uncultured prokaryote. Its description in RNAcentral is "partial 16S ribosomal RNA". It matches the Rfam family "Bacterial small subunit ribosomal RNA". The record is from RNAcentral.